Long non-coding RNA from Lycium ferocissimum, 208 nucleotides. RefSeq lists it as uncharacterized. The transcript is spliced from 2 exons. NCBI's taxonomy places the organism in Eukaryota, Viridiplantae, Streptophyta, Magnoliopsida, Solanales, Solanaceae. The record is from RefSeq and is a predicted model, not a curated record.
GAAAAUAUUGGGAAGAGAGUUUCUUGGCAUUGAAUGGUGUAACAGAGACUGCUCUUGGAUUAACUAAUCUCCAAAAGCAUGUGUGCAGUUUUUGUUAAGAGCACCAAUUGAGUACAUCUUACAAUGUUGUCUAUCGAGUGAACUGAAUGAACUCCAGCAAUCAUACAAUCAAAGGUUCACUAUAGACAACCUGCCGUUGUUCCAGUUA